GAUGAAGAACGCAGCGAAAUGCGAUAAGUAAUGUGAAUUGCAGAACUCAGUGAAUCAUCGAAUCUUUGAACGCACAUUGCGCCCGCCAGUAUUCUGGCGGGCAUGCCUGUUCGAGCGUCAUUUCAACCCUCAAGCCCCCGGGCUUGGUGUUGGGGAUCGGCGUGCCCUCGCGGCGCGCCGUCCCCUAAAUCUAGUGGCGGUCUCGCUGUAGCUUCCUCUGCGUAGUAGCAACACUCGCACUGGAUCGCAGCGCGGCCACGCCGUUAAACCCCCCACUUCUGAAAGUUUGACCUCGGAUCAGGUAGGAAUACCCGCUGAACUUAAGCAUAUCAAUAAGCGGAGGA
Molecule: unclassified non-coding RNA, 344 nt
Filed under: soil metagenome
Description: partial contains 5.8S ribosomal RNA, internal transcribed spacer 2, and large subunit ribosomal RNA
Rfam family: 5.8S ribosomal RNA (bases 1-120)
Source: RNAcentral